RNAcentral lists this ribosomal RNA (792 nucleotides) under Salmonella enterica subsp. enterica serovar Bareilly. RNAcentral describes it as "partial 23S ribosomal RNA". It matches the Rfam family "Bacterial large subunit ribosomal RNA", at positions 954 to 1746 of the family's 2925-position model. The record is from RNAcentral. Lineage: Bacteria; Pseudomonadati; Pseudomonadota; Gammaproteobacteria; Enterobacterales; Enterobacteriaceae.
CUGCGAAUACCGGAGAAUGUUAUCACGGGAGACACACGGCGGGUGCUAACGUCCGUCGUGAAGAGGGAAACAACCCAGACCGCCAGCUAAGGUCCCAAAGUCAUGGUUAAGUGGGAAACGAUGUGGGAAGGCACAGACAGCCAGGAUGUUGGCUUAGAAGCAGCCAUCAUUUAAAGAAAGCGUAAUAGCUCACUGGUCGAGUCGGCCUGCGCGGAAGAUGUAACGGGGCUAAACCAUGCACCGAAGCUGCGGCAGCGACGUUUAUGCGUUGUUGGGUAGGGGAGCGUUCUGUAAGCCUGCGAAGGUGGCCUGUGAGGGUUGCUGGAGGUAUCAGAAGUGCGAAUGCUGACAUAAGUAACGAUAAAGCGGGUGAAAAGCCCGCUCGCCGGAAGACCAAGGGUUCCUGUCCAACGUUAAUCGGGGCAGGGUGAGUCGACCCCUAAGGCGAGGCCGAAAGGCGUAGUCGAUGGGAAACGGGUUAAUAUUCCCGUACUUGGUGUUACUGCGAAGGGGGGACGGAGAAGGCUAUGUUGGCCGGGCGACGGUUGUCCCGGUUUAAGCGUGUAGGCUGGUUUUCCAGGCAAAUCCGGAAAAUCAAGGCUGAGGCGUGACGACGAGGCACUACGGUGCUGAAGCAACAAAUGCCCUGCUUCCAGGAAAAGCCUCUAAGCAUCAGGUAACAUCAAAUCGUACCCCAAACCGACACAGGUGGUCAGGUAGAGAAUACCAAGGCGCUUGAGAGAACUCGGGUGAAGGAACUAGGCAAAAUGGUGCCGUAACUUCGGGAGAAGG